CCUACGGGAGGCAGCAGUGAGGAAUAUUGGUCAAUGGGCGCUAGCCUGAACCAGCCAAGUAGCGUGAAGGAUGACUGCCCUAUGGGUUGUAAACUUCUUUUAUAUGGGAAUAAAGUGCAGUAUGUAUACUGCUUUGCAUGUACCUUAUGAAUAAGGAUCGGCUAACUCCGUGCCAGCAGCCGCGGUAAUACGGAGGAUCCGAGCGUUAUCCGGAUUUAUUGGGUUUAAAGGGAGCGUAGGCGGGUUGUUAAGUCAGUUGUGAAAGUUUGCGGCUCAACCGUAAAAUUGCAGUUGAUACUGGCAUCCUUGAGUACAGUAGAGGUAGGCGGAAUUCGUGGUGUAGCGGUGAAAUGCUUAGAUAUCACGAAGAACGCCGAUGGCGAAGGCAGCCUGCUGGACUGUAACUGACGCUGAUGCUCGAAAGUGUGGGUAGCAAACAGGAUUAGAUACCCGAGUAGUC
This 460-nucleotide ribosomal RNA is filed under the name uncultured bacterium. RNAcentral describes it as "partial 16S ribosomal RNA". It matches the Rfam family "Bacterial small subunit ribosomal RNA", at positions 338 to 795 of the family's 1533-position model. The record is from RNAcentral.